UUACUCAACCAUUCCUACUCCUCAACCAACAACAGAUCAUGCUACAUAAACCUGCCAGCACAGAGCAGCAGCAGUUACCUUACAACUCUACAGCAGGAUACACAUCUGAAAUGAUACAGAAGCAAAGAUUGGGCAUCGCUGAUUCUUUGAAUUGAUUCUUUGUCUACCAUCAUCAACUUUCUCAUUGACUAAAAUGUGGAUAUAUCUUUAUAUAAUGUCAUUUCUCCUGAAGAUUUCUCAAUGUGAAGACCUCAUUUAUCAUGUAGAAGAAGGCAAGAUGCCUGGUACAUUAGUUGGUGACAUUGCAGCAGACACACAUUUGUUUGAUCGCAUACCUGUACAAGAGCACAAUCUACUUUGGUUCAGCCACUUAAAAGAAACUAUUAUCAAUGGAUCACAGUUAUUUAAUGUCUCUAAGACAGGUAAACUUUACACAUCUCAAAUAGUUGAUGCUGAUGUUCUAUGUAAAUUCAACACUGAAUGCUUCAAAAUGGUGGAUAUAGCGGUCCGAAAUGAAGAAUCUUUCGUCAAAAUAUUAGAAAUUAAAGUUGUUGUGGAAGAUGUCAAUGAUCAACGACCUGAGUUCCCAGUCAAGCAAGUCAAUAUUCAAUUUGAUGAAACAGAUGGCAAAGGAACUAUAAAAUUUGUUCCAACUGCUAAAGACAGAGAUGUGAGUCUUAUUAACUCACAAAUUACAUACCAGCUGAAGAAAGAUAUAGAAAAAACAUUUUCAUUAUCAAUUACAGAAAAGACAGAUUCAACAAUUAAACUUGGAAUCGUUUUGGAAGGAGAAGUUGACAGAGAAAGGAAAGAUAAUUAUAAGCUUCAAAUUAUUGCAACAGAUGGAGGAUCUCCUUCAAAGUUUGGUGUUUUGGAUGUGCUAAUAACUGUGAUCGAUGAAAAUGAUAACUCACCAAUCUUUUCUCAGAAUAUUUAUAAUAUUUCUAUUAGUAACAGAAAUGAACAAAAUAAAGCAAUUAUAAUAUUAUCAGCAAAUGAUAUAGAUUCAGGAGAAAAUGGCAAAAUCACAUACCACUUUAGCUCAAAAACUUCAAAUCUUGCAAAAUCAUAUUUUCAUUUGAAUGAGAAAACAGGAGAAAUAAUUUUAAAGAAAAAAGUUCCUUUUGUAUCCAAAAAGUCUUAUAAAUUAUUUGUGGAAGCUACUGAUGGGGGAAAUCCACCAUCGACUUCAACAGCUAUUGUAUUUGUUCAUGUAAAUAACAAUGAAAACAGUGCUCCUGUUAUUGAUAUUAACUUUAUUUCAAAAUCUACAGGAAACACUGCCAUUAUUUCAGAAGGAGUGAAAAUUAACAGUUUCAUAGCUUAUGUAAAGGUCACAGAUAAUGACGUUGGAAUGAAUGGCAAAAUUAUAUGCAAUCUUCGUCAUGAUAAAAUUCAGCUUCAAAGUCUAGGAAAGAAAAAAUACAAAUUAGUUGUAAAAAAAUCAUUAGACAGAGAAACAGAAAGCCAUAUUGAUCUCACGAUUUCUUGUGAAGACAAAGGAUUUCCACCAUUACAAACAGAUCACAGUUUUUCAAUCCAAGUUAUGGAUAUUAAUGAUAUUCAACCACAAUUUACAAAAGCUACAUUCAGGUUUUCAGUCUAUGAAAAUGAAGAACCUAAGUUCUCAAUAGGUUUUGUCAAUGCUACUGAUCCAGAUCUUGUUGCUGGAUCUCAGUUAACCUACUCUCUUAUAGGUUCUAAUAGACAUAUUCCAUUUUCCAUAUCUGAUUUUGGUUUUAUUUCAACUACUCAGUCACUUGACCGUGAAAAGCAAGAUCUUUAUCGGUUUAAAAUAAUGGCUAAAGACAAUGGAAUACCUUCUCUUAACAACACAGCUAACGUUGUUGUUGAAGUUAUGGAUAAAAAUGAUAAUGCUCCCUAUUUUACUUUCCCUAGUUUUAACCCUUUCAAUUUAGAUGUCCAUUACCAUCCACAGAGUAAGAGUGACAUCACAACAUUAAGAGCCUCCGACAGAGACAGUCAUGUGAAUGCUUUCCUCAAAUAUGAAAUACUUGGCGGUAACAACAAGCAGUUAUUUACAGUCAACCCUUACACAGGAGUUUUGUCAUUCUCUCGAACAGUUUACCAAAAUGAUGCUGGAUCAUAUAAUCUGAUAUUAACUGUCAAAGACAACGGCAUACCAGUUUUAUCAGCAACAACUACACUGUCUUUGACACUUACUGUUAGCAAUACAACAGCCAGAAUGUACAUCUCUGAAGACAGAGAGUCAGACAACAGAAUACAUAUUAACUUGAUGAUUAUUAUAGUAGUAGCAGCAGUGAUAGUUUCUGUUGCUAUUGUUGUAUCUUUCAUUAUGUGUAUAAUCCAAAGGAAAAGCACAAAGGAUAGUCGAUUUACUGGGAGUGUAGGCACACAUAAUGACAUUUUAAAUGAAAGGAGACAGUCUGAAUAUACUUGUGAAGAAAUAUCUCCUAAAUAUGAUAUUCCAAUUACUAUGUUAACUUGCACUGAUAACUUUCCGACAACUCUAAUAAGAGAGCCACACUCACAAUAUGAGACUAAUCACUGUUGGGAAGGAUCUUCCAUAGGGAAACACAGCAAAACUAUUUCAAAACGGGCACACCCUAUGUAAAAGUGGGGAUGCGGACUAGUCCAAAUGCAGCUUAGUUUCCAGUGAAAACGGAAAAUGCAGACAGUAGAGAUUAUAUCAAGGGAGGUAAUGGUCCUUUCAAUGAAAUGCCAACAAUCUCUGGACAUGCUGAGAGUGAACAUGACUGGAGUGAGAGAGCUACUGUCCAGUAUGAAACUUUGCCAG
This is an RNA transcript of Octopus bimaculoides (California two-spot octopus), 2779 nucleotides long. It is a transcript of the gene named protocadherin beta-15, with no coding region annotated. The record is from RefSeq and is a predicted model, not a curated record. Lineage: Eukaryota; Metazoa; Mollusca; Cephalopoda; Octopoda; Octopodidae.